AAGACAAGUAAUAAAUUAGGCAGUUUUAUUCAUUUUAGGAUAUUUCAUAAAUGCAAAUGAAAAAGAAGAAAAAAAAGAAUUUAAUUAAUGAAAUAAGAACAUUUUCAAAUGGAUACUUUUCUUUUAAUAAUAUAGAUUUUUAAUAAUAUAGAUGGGUGUGAACUAUGACCUUCUGUAAGAAAAUCUUCCUUUUGGAGACUACGCCGUCUCUGGAAACUUCUUGAACCCUAACUUCUGCUUUUGUUCAUCUUUCCUACUAAAAAAUUCUGAAAACAUUACAGAGUUACACCGAAUCGAAGUGUCGUUUUAAACGCACUCAUUAAUCAUUGUUCUCCACUCCUCACGCAAUCUAUCAUUGAAUGCAUCUACCAUCCUUUCUGUGAAUCUUGGAGAUUCCUCAACUAUAAAAAUGAACCAAAAGAGAAUAACCUCCGUCAAAAAGCUUUGACACUCAAUUGUCUACGUGAGAUAACAAUGACUACAGUAACAUAUACAUGAACGCAAGCGUUUAAAUCACAAGCCAAGGACCCCAAAACCGAAUUACUCAUUCAAGGUAUCUUUUCCUAUCUACACAUACACUACAUCGGAUUUUUCAAUUGAUCUCCUCUUCAGUUCAUCUUCACGGUCUUCUAAACAUGUAACAUUCAGACUAUAUAUUAGGUUUUGCGAAUGAUCGAUAUUGGUGUACAAAAUGAUUUUGGAAACGAUUUAAGGGAAACUUAUAGUUGCUUUUGUAAAUCCAUCGAUAUACAUUAAUUAGUGUUGCAACGAGUUCAUAUUAUGGUCUUUUAGCAAAUGAGUAAGUGAUUAUUUAUAAAUCUCAGCAUUUAAGUUUUUUUAUGUUUGGAGGAAUCUCUGUACCACAUCUUCUACUGGCUGAGUUUCUUCCUCAAAGCAGCUCCACUGAAAUCACGGGUCAAGAAGCUGGGAACACAUUUAUCUAUAUUUCAGACUGGAAUCAAAAGAAGAGUAAGAUGAAGAGAUGACUAUCAGAAAAAAUCCAAGCAGAUUGAAGAAAAAAAUAUGAUAAGAGCAUAAAAAACUUCAAACUUACAAAAAGACUGCAUAAAUCGAAAAUAAACGAGUUACUUUCAACAUUAAAGUCGAUGAGGUAGAAGAAGAAUCGAAGAGAUGAGAGACUCUGAAGCGCAUACAACAAAACCUUGACCAAUGUUUUUUUUUUUCCUUUUACUCUUUAAACAUAAAUUAGUGAUAAGAACAUUUUAUGCUUCACAAAUUCUUAAUUAUCAAAUUUCAACCACUCUAAAUGACUAAUUCUGAACAAUAUUUAAAUAAUAAAUAUUAUGGCUUAACUUAUAACCAUGCCGCUUGAGACCAUUUACUAUAUCGUUAAACAAAAUUAAAGUAAAUAAAUAAUUAAUUGAAUAUAUUUACGUCUAUAAAAUUAUCAGUACAUUAUACCCCAUAUUUUUGUCAACAAAGUAUAAUAUCUAAAAACUAUGAAAUCGUUGUCAAAAAAAUAAAAUAACUAUGAAAUCGUUGUCAAAAAAAUAAAAUAAUUAUUUACUCUAUUUUACUAAUAGGUAUUAUAUACUAAAAUAUCAAGUUUCAACUAUUAUUUUCUUCUAAUUAUUCAAACUUACUUAUAUGUACAAUAAAUAUUAAAUUGUGGUUACCGUUAAGUUGAACUAAAAAGAGGUUUCUGUUAUUAGUUAUGGACAAUGGAAAAUAGCAUUUGUUUACCUUUCGGAACUUAAGAGCAUGAUUAACCUGGGCUCUUAAUUUGGGAUUCUUAACUCAUGAUUUGACAUUUUUUUUAACACUUUUCGAGUAGGAACCGGCUCUUAUAUCUCUUAAAUUGUUCUUAGUUUUUUUUAGUUAAAAGUUAAGAUACGAUUCUUAGCCGAAGCUAAGAAUCCCAUCCUAAGAGCUUGAGUUAAUCAUGGUCUUACGUGAAACGUGUCUUCCGCGACCAGUAUCUAAGAAAAACAAUAAGGCAAUGGAUACAAUCCGCCAUCAGUUUUAGCAUCUCCACAGUAAGCUCCGACCUGUUUGUUUUCUCUAUAAAUAAAAACUAGCUUCCAGGUGAAGGUUUGAUCAGCCUAAAUUUAAAGUGAUCUUAAGGUCUUGCCUCUUCUUUGGACUGUCUUCUUUCACUUGUGUGUGAAUAGAGAAUUUAACAUCAAUUCGUUACUAUAUGAGUCCAAAAGAUAUUUAAGAUAUCAAUAGAGCCUUUUACCAUAUCAACAUCAGUUCCUUCGAAGCCAGAUUAAACCAUAAUAUUUGCCUUUUACCAUAUCAACAUCAGUUCUUUCGAAACCAGAUUAAACCAUAAAAUUUGCAUACAACACAGGACACAAGUAUUAUUUAACAAAUAGAGUAAAAUAUUUGCUUCUUUUUGGUCUAUAUAACAAUCGUCCGGCAUUGCAAGUUGUUCACUACAUUCUUGCAAAACAAACAAAUCUAACAUUCUAAAAUAAUCAACAACUGGAUGCAGCUUCUUUGAAUGUUUUUUCAUCACGUGUUAUAUAAUUUACAAUAAUAAAAAUAACAAAUUUUGAAUAUAAACAAAAAUCCAAAUCUGGUAGACCAAAAAAAUUAAAAGUUUCAUUUUUAGAAAACUAUCUAAUGAUUUAUAUUUUAAUAAUAAAUGUAUAUAUACAUAAUGUUGAAAUAGUAUAAAAUAAUUAAAAUGACAGAAAUAAAAAUAAAAGUUACUGAGAAUUCCGGGCAUAGCCCGGGCCGACCCUAGUAUAUAAUAUGAUACAAUACAAAGACUGCCCCUGCUCAGAAAUAGAACCUCUCCCCACUAUUCAUAUCCACCUAUGCGAAUCUUUCAUGAUGUGUUUUUGUUAGUCUUUGAGUAAAUUAAUAAUCAGUACAGACGACAUUUGACACAAUCAAGAAGCACAAUAUUGAGAAUACUCUAACAAUUUUAUUACAUUAAGAAGUAAGAAUUAUAUUAUUAUGAUAGUUAUAUAUGAUACCAAGAAGAACAAUAUCGAGAAUACUCCAACGAGUCUGGAAGUCAGAGGAUGCUCUCUGAACUCGUGUAGGUUGUGUAGGAGUCUUCUUAUUAACAACCAGUACCAAAACUAAGUUUUUAAGAAACUAUAUAUAUACUGAAACAAGUGUUUUUAAAACCGAACAGAUCCAGUGGUCAGACCAGGUUUGACCAUGAACCGGUCAUGUAGCCGGGUUGGAUCUUAUAAUUGGUUUGAUCAUGAACCGGUCAAAUAGUCAUAUUGGAUCUCAAAGUUAUUAAACUUAAUGCAAAUUAUUAAAAUUAUCAAAAAUCUAUAAACCAACUAUUUGAACAAAAAAUAGCUUAGAUUUAUAAUAUUUUUUAUUUAGUAUUUUUUAUAUUUUAUUUAUGAAUUAUAUUUACUAAUUUUAGUUUUAAAUUUCUAUAUCUAAAAAAUGUUGAACCAGAUUAUUGAAUCAAAUUUUUCCUGGCUGAACCAUAUUGAACUGCGAUCUAAAUUAAUAUCCGGUUUAGUUUUAUUGUCUGGUUUUAAGAACAUUGACCAAAACUUUUAAGGCAGGUAGUAUACUAGUGUGGUGAAUAUUUCCGGUCUUUCACCAGCAAUUCAUACUAUUACAUCAAAAUGGGUCUAAAGGCCCAAAUAUGCGUUGUUCUUAGACUCAAAACAGCCAAGAGCAUUGCUUGCUCUUUUCAUCUUUUACCUUUUUUAACGGUGCAUACAAAUUAAAAUUACCGAGAUUCGCUGCAAAAGUGCAAAUAGAGUUUAGAUAGACAUCAAUCUUUGUUGACAAAAGAAUGUACAACAAACAAUACUUUAUGUUUCUAUCUAUGAAAGAUUUACUUCAUAUGUAUAUAAUAAUAUCGUGUUAUCAUCGUCUUUUGUGUCCUUUUAUGACUAUCCUCGAGUUUUAUUAUUUUCUCAAAACAUAUUUUAUCUUAAGCUUGACAAAAUAAAGUAAAAGACUUUACAUGUAAUUUUGACAAGUGGUGAUUCUAUUAUUUGGUAGAUUACUAAAAUAGUGGAUAUUUUAAAGAAGUAAGGAUGAAAAUUGAGUUUUUUUUUCUCAACUUCAACUUUAUAUUAACCAAAGAGUAGUACAUGAUUUCAACCGCAAGGAUUCAACCACAUUUACAAACAAAGUGAUUUAAUAUCACCCAGGAAUACAUAGAUGGAUCCUACGCUACCCGAUCUUCUACUUUGUUGUAAUUCUACCCGAUGAGAACAAGUUCCCUCCACGACCCGAAGAGAACUGUCUCUUAAACCCGUACAAUUAGACCAUACAAGUGAACGAAACAUGAAACCAAGCUUAACUAAACCUUAUCGGGAUUAAACAUUAACACCAAGCAUUGGUCUCCAAAACAUUAGAAUGCAGCACUCGGACCAGUACGUCAACACCAAACGGUGCAUCUCCCGACUCGAUUCAGUAUCAUUGAUUUCGGUUUCUCACUUCUUAGCCAGAAAAACGGCAUAUAACCGUACUGAAAGGCGGAUUUAACGAGAGCAGGACAUGGUGGGAACAGCAUCUCCUAGCUUCAAAUGGCGUGAAGCCCUACCACCGGACAUAAACACAGAGAAGCCCUACCACCGGACAUAAACACAGAGUCGCCGCCGGUGCUGGGAAAUAAGGCCCCACCGUGUACUCCCGCUAGACUCCCUGGAAGAAAAUUGAGUUUUUGUACCAUCAGUUUUGUAAUGUCAUCCUUUUUGAAGUGGUAUGAGUACUUUUAUUUUAUUUAUUUAAUUUAAUUUUUUUGCUUGAAUUUGUAUUUGCAAGUAUUUAUAUAUCUAUAUAUAUAAAAGAGUGUUUUGCUCUCUCCUUGGUGAAGAGUGUUUUGCUCUUUUCUGGUGAAGCCACGUCACUUAGUCGAUGGCUGUGAACGCUACACCUAUCAUCUUCAUAAAACGCACAGUUUCAUUUAAGUUAGGAUACAGUUAAUUUUGGGCUUUCGUGUCGGCUUAUGCUUUAUGAAUGGUAUCUAAUUUUGUCUGUUCACUUUGAAUUAGGGUUAGCCGUCAUCUUCUAUCUCUGCGAUGAAUGAGCUAGAGCAACAAUGGAGAUCAAAUCAAGUCAGCCGAAACGUCCCAUUAAUGAUACUCAUCUAACACCAAGGCGGUUUUCUUUACCUAUAAAAGGACUGGUGACUGCUCUUACACCGUCCAUGUGCGGUUGCUCCGAUUCUGGGAAGCUGAUUCUUGGUGAUUUGAAUAUUUUAUUAUCUCAUGCUCAUAGUAUUUUUUUUUUCCAGCAACCACCUUCUCAACCGUCAUGCCAGCCACCAUGAAUGUUCACCGGCUAGCCACUUACAGAGACCGUCUCCAGGCUGGUUCACCGGUGCAACCAGAACUUCAGGCUUUCAGACUUGCUUCUGACAGUCCGGUACAUUGAUAUAACCAAUCUAGAUGUGCUAAACGAACCAGAUUCUCACAUUCCUGAAGAACGUUUCUGGUUCGGUGAUCACGAUUCGCUUCUUGGCCCAGCCAACACCAACACACAUCUUCUAGACGUUAUUACUGAGCUCACUGCUAUGAGAAGUACGGUGAGUGACAUUCCUCAAGUAAAAGAGCGAGUUAUGGCGACUAUGUAGAUCGACAGUCUGUUUGACUCACAAGCGAUCUCUUUUCACAAGAAACUUGAAGGUUGUUGUUGCAAGUAGCAUAAACCCAAAGAUGGUAGGAGGACGUUUGUCACACGUGUUUUUCGACAAGGAAACUGAUGCAGAAGCUAGACAUGUCUCUUUCAUUUAAAGAUCAGUCAAAACAGAACACAUUCAGAUCUCGAUUAUUAAUCUAUAGUACAUGAAGAAGUUUCAGGUAGAUAUUUAUUUCCCUAUGUCAUCUAAUCUUAUUCAUGUUCAAAGUAUGAAGGCUGUCUCAUGAACGGAGAUGAUGGUUGUGUCAUCCUUUAGCACGUUAAACAUGACAGACAUGAUCUUUUGAAGAGAGAAAUAGAUGUGUAUCUGCUGCAGUUGUACGGCUACUGAGAUAGGACACAAGAGGAUGAAUACAAAAUAGAGAUCUGCAGUACUUUGAUGAACUAGAAGCUAGAAAUGAUGUGUAGCCUUCUCCCAAACUGGAAACAUCAACAAACUACCUUGGUCUAAAUAUAAAAAGUCUUAACAGCAAGUAGGGUCUAAUCAUAUUUACUAAUAUAUAAGCCCAUAUGUAGAAAAAUAAUACGAGUGUACACAAUGAUUUGGUCUAUGUGUUAUUGUAUAUAGUAUUCUAGACUACGAUUCUUCUUUAAUCUU
Long non-coding RNA from Brassica napus (rape), 6196 nucleotides. RefSeq lists it as uncharacterized. Lineage: Eukaryota; Viridiplantae; Streptophyta; Magnoliopsida; Brassicales; Brassicaceae. The transcript is spliced from 10 exons. The record is from RefSeq and is a predicted model, not a curated record.